UACGAAGGGGGCUAGCGUUGCUCGGAAUUACUGGGCGUAAAGCGCACGUAGGCGGUUUCUUAAGUUUGGUGUGAAAUCUCCCGGCUCAACUGGGAGGGUGCGCCGAAUACUGAAUGACUUGGAGUGCGGGAGAGGUGAGUGGAAUUCCUGGUGUAGCGGUGAAAUGCGUAGAUAUCAGGAGGAACACCGGUGGUGUAGGCGGCUCACUGGACCGUAACUGACGCUGAGACACGAAAGCGUAGGUAGCAAACAGG
This 254-nucleotide ribosomal RNA is filed under the name uncultured bacterium. Its description in RNAcentral is "partial 16S ribosomal RNA". It matches the Rfam family "Bacterial small subunit ribosomal RNA", at positions 524 to 776 of the family's 1533-position model. The record is from RNAcentral.